Poecilia latipinna (sailfin molly) is the source of this 782-nucleotide long non-coding RNA. RefSeq lists it as uncharacterized. The record is from RefSeq and is a predicted model, not a curated record. The transcript is spliced from 4 exons. NCBI's taxonomy places the organism in Eukaryota, Metazoa, Chordata, Actinopteri, Cyprinodontiformes, Poeciliidae.
UGAUAGAUUUUAUAAUUUUACAUCCAGGAUCUUCAGGAGAAUUAAGCGAAACCUAAACUCCUUGUUCUCAACAAAGACCUUCUGUAUGGCCAAGAACAUGAGUCUGCUCCCUCAAGAAGAUUACGUAGCCCUGCACCUGCUGCCAGUACUCCUCCCUUCUCCGCCUUACACAUUUGGAAGAAGAGUUUCAGACCCAUCAACCUGGAAGUUCAGAAGGUUUCAUUGAUAUCCACCUUGUAAGGAAUUUUCUCCUUUAAGGUACUGAAGCUCAAGAGAUGUUUUCUAAACUGUUUUUAACAUUUAACAUUUUAACACAAGCUUGUUUGCCAGACAGACAAGAUGAUGUAGUCCUGCAGCUGCUGCCAGUACUCCUCCCUGUUCCACCUUACACAUUUGGUAGAAGAGAUUCAGACCCAUCAACCUGGACAUUCAGAUGGUUUCAUUGAUAUCCAGCCUGUUGGGACAAACCUGGUGGCGCAUCUACAGAAUGCGACAGCCCGUAUGUCCUCAUGCAGGGAGACAAGCAAAAAUGCUAAAGUGACGUUAAAAAUGCUCCUUGUUUAAUGGCUGAAAGUUUUACUUGUAGUUUGCUUUAAAACAGACUCUACAUUAAAUGUUUUCUAAUGUGUAGUAACAGAUAUUUCUGGAGUUGUAACCAAAUGAGUUGAAGUGAUUUAACUAUAUACUUUUGAAACAACUUACUUAUGUUUUGUAACUUUUGUAAAUGAAAUCUGCUGGCUCUAUAUAUGCAUCAUGUAGAAAUAAAAGAAACUUUAAAUUCA